This 253-nucleotide unclassified non-coding RNA is filed under the name Hevea brasiliensis (rubber tree). The record is from RNAcentral. Lineage: Eukaryota; Viridiplantae; Streptophyta; Magnoliopsida; Malpighiales; Euphorbiaceae.
GCUGUUUUUUUCAAGUUCAUAGCUUUUGAAUUUCAUGCCCCUUUGUGAGAUAAACCAAUGAAUAUACCUGUGCCUGUCAUGGUAAUUUUAUUUAUAUGUCAAAAAAAUUAUUUAUAAAAAACAAAAAGACAAUCCUGACAACUCCUAUUAUCUAUUGCAUUUUGCACAGUGAACUAUUCUUUGCGUGAAAUAAUUAGAACUGUAAGGCAGUCAAAAGAACUAACCUAGCAGUCAAAGGAUAUCUAAAAUAUGU